This is a non-coding RNA of Prunus avium (sweet cherry), 736 nucleotides long. NCBI's taxonomy places the organism in Eukaryota, Viridiplantae, Streptophyta, Magnoliopsida, Rosales, Rosaceae. The record is from RefSeq and is a predicted model, not a curated record.
UAUAGAAACAGAGGUUCAUAGACCAGAGCCAUUUUCGUUUUCGAUUUUCUUAGAGAGAGAGAGAGAGAGAGAGAGAGAGAGAGAGAGAGAGCUAUAGUAACGAUGUCGACCCUUAGAGUUCCUCAACAAGUUCCUCCUGCAUCCGAAGACUGUGAGCAGCUCAAACAGGCCUUCAAAGGAUGGGGAACCAAUGAGGACUUAAUCAUAUCCAUCUUGGGGCAUAGAAAUGCCGCUCAAAGAAAGGUGAUCCGACAAAUUAAGAAUGCACUCUAGUUUUUGCAUUAGUUGAGAUAAUUUGACUGCAUGUUUUACAUAAAUUGUUAUCAUGAUUGAUUUUUGCCAAGACAAGGCAGACAUUUAGCUCAUUGUUUUCAGCUGUCUUUUUUCAUGAUUGGAUGAGCAUCCAUGAUACUAGUUUUCACAAGUUCAAUUUUUGGCUAUUUGUCUCUCUCUCCUCUCCGGAUCCAACCUCUCCAGCCCAAUUUAUCCAGCCAACACCAUACCUAAACAACCACCCACCCAACUAAAGCAGAGAGACGAAUUGGGGAGGUUACAGAGAGACGGAGAGAUUCCGACGACGAGCUCACCAGAUCCAACCCCUUCUCGACCUCAACCCAGUCCGGCCAUCCAAAUCUCUUCAGCACACCCCACUAAACUUCUUCAGCACACCCACUGCCCAUGCAGUCGGCGUCGCCUAAGGAGAUUUUGAGUGCUUUUGCUGAGGUGGGGCAGCCAA